GAAGGAAAAGUUCUAGCUUGCUAGAGAGUGGAUUAGUGGCGCACGGGUGAGUAAUGCAUAGGUUAUGUGCCCCAUAGUCUGGGAUAGCCACUGGAAACGGUGAUUAAUACUAGAUACUCCUUACGAGGGAAAGUUUUUCGCUAUGGGAUCAGCCUAUGUCCUAUCAGCUUGUUGGUGAGGUAAUGGCUCACCAAGGCUAUGACGGGUAUCCGGCCUGAGAGGGUGAACGGACACACUGGAACUGAGACACGGUCCAGACUCCUACGGGAGGCAGCAGUAGGGAAUAUUGCUCAAUGGGCGAAAGCCUGAAGCAGCAACGCCGCGUGGAGGAUGAAGGUUUUAGGAUUGUAAACUCCUUUUGUUAGAGAAGAUUAUGACGGUAUCUCAGAAAUUAAGC
RNAcentral lists this ribosomal RNA (397 nucleotides) under uncultured Helicobacter sp. RNAcentral's name for it is "bacterial SSU rRNA". It matches the Rfam family "Bacterial small subunit ribosomal RNA", at positions 64 to 491 of the family's 1533-position model. The record is from RNAcentral. Lineage: Bacteria; Pseudomonadati; Campylobacterota; Epsilonproteobacteria; Campylobacterales; Helicobacteraceae.